GUUCUGUGAUGAGUUCUGCUUCUGGUCCGUGUUUAUGAAAAUACAUGAUUUCAGUAGAAGUUCUGAUUUG
This is a small nucleolar RNA of Bombina bombina (fire-bellied toad), 70 nucleotides long. RefSeq annotates it as small nucleolar RNA SNORD18. Lineage: Eukaryota; Metazoa; Chordata; Amphibia; Anura; Bombinatoridae. The record is from RefSeq and is a predicted model, not a curated record. The transcript has a single exon.